GUGGGGAAUAUUGGGCAAUGGGCGAAAGCCUGACCCAGCAACGCCGCGUGAAGGAAGAAGGCCCUCGGGUUGUAAACUUCUUUUAAGAGGGACGAAAGAAAUGACGGUACCUCUUGAAUAAGCCACGGCUAACUACGUGCCAGCAGCCGCGGUAAUACGUAGGUGGCGAGCGUUAUCCGGAUUUACUGGGUGUAAAGGGCGUGUAGGCGGGAGUGCAAGUCAGAUGUGAAAAUUAUGGGCUCAACCCAUAACCUGCAUUUGAAACUGUUCUUCUAGAGUGAUGGAGAGGCAGGCGGAAUUCCGUGUGUAGCGGUGAAAUGCGUAGAUAUACGGAGGAACACCAGUGGCGAAGGCGGCCUGCUGGACAUUAACUGACGCUGAGGCGCGAAAGCGUGGGGAGCAAACAGGAUUAGAAACCCCGGUAGUCC
This 428-nucleotide ribosomal RNA is filed under the name uncultured bacterium. RNAcentral describes it as "partial 16S ribosomal RNA". It matches the Rfam family "Bacterial small subunit ribosomal RNA", at positions 354 to 796 of the family's 1533-position model. The record is from RNAcentral.